This 402-nucleotide ribosomal RNA is filed under the name uncultured bacterium. RNAcentral describes it as "bacterial SSU rRNA". It matches the Rfam family "Bacterial small subunit ribosomal RNA", at positions 355 to 774 of the family's 1533-position model. The record is from RNAcentral.
UGGGGAAUCUUGCACAAUGGGGGAAACCCUGAUGCAGCGACGCCGCGUGAACGAUGAAGCCCUUCGGGGUGUAAAGUUCUUUCGACAGGAACGAUAAUGACGGUACCUGGAGAAGAAGCUGCGGCUAACUACGUGCCAGCAGCCGCGGUAAUACGUAGGCAGCGAGCGUUGUUCGGAGUUACUGGGCGUAAAGAGUGCGUAGGCGGCGAGCCAAGUUUGGUGUGAAAUCUCCCGGCUUAACCGGGAGGGUGCGCCGAAAACUGGUUGGCUGGAGUAUGGGAGAGGAGAGCGGAAUUCCUGGUGUAGCGGUGAAAUGCGUAGAUAUCAGGAGGAACACCUGCGGUGUAGACAGCUUUCUGGACCAAAACUGACGCUGAGGCACGAAAGCGUGGGUAGCAAACA